UACGGGGGGGGCAAGCGUUGUUCGGAAUUACUGGGCGUAAAGGGUGCGCAGGCGGUCCCGCAAGUCAGGCGUGAAAUCCCCGGGCUUAACCUGGGAAUGGCACUUGAAACUACGGGACUGGAGUAUGGCAGAGGGAGGUGGAAUUCCACGUGUAGCGGUGAAAUGCGUAGAGAUGUGGAGGAACACCGAUGGCGAAGGCAGCCUCCUGGGCCAAUACUGACGCUCAUGCACGAAAGCGUGGGGAGCAAACAGG
This 253-nucleotide ribosomal RNA is filed under the name uncultured bacterium. RNAcentral describes it as "partial 16S ribosomal RNA". It matches the Rfam family "Bacterial small subunit ribosomal RNA", at positions 524 to 776 of the family's 1533-position model. The record is from RNAcentral.